RNAcentral lists this ribosomal RNA (465 nucleotides) under Vreelandella stevensii. RNAcentral describes it as "partial 16S ribosomal RNA". It matches the Rfam family "Bacterial small subunit ribosomal RNA", at positions 338 to 795 of the family's 1533-position model. Lineage: Bacteria; Pseudomonadati; Pseudomonadota; Gammaproteobacteria; Oceanospirillales; Halomonadaceae. The record is from RNAcentral.
CCUACGGGUGGCAGCAGUGGGGAAUAUUGGAUAAUGGGGGCAACCCUGAUCCAGCCAUGCCGCGUGUGUGAAGAAGGCCCUCGGGUUGUAAAGCACUUUCAGUGAGGAAGAACGCCUGGUGGUUAAUACCCAUCAGGAAAGACAUCACUCACAGAAGAAGCACCGGCUAACUCCGUGCCAGCAGCCGCGGUAAUACGGAGGGUGCGAGCGUUAAUCGGAAUUACUGGGCGUAAAGCGCGCGUAGGUGGCUUGAUAAGCCGGUUGUGAAAGCCCCGGGCUCAACCUGGGAACGGCAUCCGGAACUGUCAAGCUAGAGUGCAGGAGAGGAAGGUAGAAUUCCCGGUGUAGCGGUGAAAUGCGUAGAGAUCGGGAGGAAUACCAGUGGCGAAGGCGGCCUUCUGGACUGACACUGACACUGAGGUGCGAAAGCGUGGGUAGCAAACAGGAUUAGAUACCCGAGUAGUC